CUCUCUCUGCUCCUCCCCUUCUCGUACUAGCUCUCUCAAAAUAAAUAAACUUAAAAAUAAAAGAAAAACCCAAAGGGAGUGGGAAGCUAACAAAGGGUUAUGAGCAGGCGAGUGGCACCAUCUGAUUUACACCCCGGUGCGAUCACCCUGGCUGCUGUGUGCAGUAUGUAUUGUGGAGAGGCAAGAAAGGAAUUCAGGAGUCCUCAUGAGGCGGUGGUAGUGUGGCUAUGGCAUGAUGGGUGAUGAUAUUAGUUGAUGACAGGGACAUACAGGGAAAUGGAGCUUGUGAAGGAAUUUUGAAGGAAGCAUUAACAAAAACAAGAAACAAUUUGAAUGUCGGUGGCGAAAAUGGGAAAGUGUCCCUGGUCACUUCCAGAAUUGUGGGUUGAAUGAUGGGUUCAGCUGCCAUUGCUGAAAUGGGCCCACCGGCCGUGGAGUGUCUGUGGGGGAGGGCACAGAAGAACAGGAGUUCAGCUUGAGGUAUGUCAGAUUUGAGAUGCCCCUGCAAUAUCCUGCGAGAUCAAGGGGUAAAUACAGCACCCACUGUGGUGUUGAAAAUGGAAGUCUGGUACCUAGAGAAGACGGGGUAGCUUGGAAAUUAAAGGUUGCGAGCUGUCGGCAUGUAGAUGCUGAUGUUGUCUGGGGAGAGAGUGUAUCUCGAUGAGAGAAUCGGAUCCCGGGCUGAGCCCUGAGGAAAUCUAACAUGUCGAGGUUGGACAGCAGAGAAGCGACAGGCAGAGAAAACAAAGACGCUUGAGAGGUAGGCAGCAGAUCGUUCCAUGUGAUGUCACAGAAGCAUGACAUGCAAUUUUUCCAGGGGCAGGUGGGAGCGAUUGUGGUCAGCUGUGCCUAAUAUUCUGAGAGUCCUCGUAAGGUGGCUGUCUCGAUGCCUGCUCCUGACAUCUGCAUGUAAGGACCCUGAUUUCCUCCAUACUAGUGGGGAAAAGGCGUUAGGUAGCCGCGCGUGGAGAUGGGGACCCAGGCAGGGAGAGGAUCUUAGGAAAACUGGUAACCUGUUGGUUUAGCUAAGGCAGCUUUCUUAACUUUUGUGUGUAAGAAACACCGCCCAGAGAAACUGUGCUAAUGGUGAACGCUGAGUACAGCUGACACGCCAUCAGCUCGUAGGGAAUAUGCUGCCUGUAGCCACAGGAUGCCACCGUGGAUGCUUGUCUUAUACUCUCUAAUCUUACUCUUUUCCUUAGUGGUGGGAAAUUGCUUUCUCCUCCCUAUGUCAGUGCUGCUCAAGGCACUGCAGAUCUGUGUCAUUCGUGUCUUCUCCUCACUGCAUAUGAAUAUCAGAAUUUGAAAAUUUAUAUUUGGAGUGUUUGAGCAAUUCUUUUGGACGUCUUUUCCUCCCUCCCUCCCUCCCUCCCUCCCUUCCUUCCUUCCUUCCUUCCUUCCUUCCUUCCUUCCUUUCCAGUUCUUCCCUUUGCCUCAUCUUAGGUCUUAGCAAACAUACUCAUUUUGUUAGUAGUGGCAGGAAGCAGGCAGUUUCCAUGGCAACUGACAGACCGGGUUUACUGUGGAAAUUUCCGGAAUUAACAGAGCUGCAUUGCAGAAGGAUGCAUAAAGCAGUAUUCAUCUAGAGAUGCUAACAGUACGGACACAGAACGGUUGCAGUGGUGUGCAGGAAGAAGUUUGUUGACUCGUGGUUUAGAUGGUGUAUUGGAUUCCUACGGCUGCUGUAACAAAUUGCCACAGACUUGGUAGACUAAAACGACAGAAAUUUAUUCUCUCGCAGUUUCGGAGGCCAGAAAUCCGAAAUCAGGGUGUUGGCAAGGCUAUUUUGUGCAUUCACUAGCACACAUGUUGAGUUGUGUGCUCUGACUUCUCUUCACAGCAAGAUCCAGAUUCAACUGUAAUUAGAUAUUUACCUUUUUAUUUUUCUGUAGGCACCUAGAGUAUACAUAAGGAAGUAGAGUGAGUUAAGGUCUACAGCCUAGACUGGUAUUAAAUUAAGCUGGUUUGAUCACAAUUCACACAAGCUAAAAUGUAAGCACUGUAGGAGGUUCAAAAAUACCCUCUGUUUCAAGUAGGUAUAUUAUAUAAAAUAGCCUGUGUUCCUAAGUGUGUCUGUUGAUAAAUCUUUAGAUUGUGUCUGUAGAUAAAUCUAUAAAAUCUUUUUUUUUUUUUUCCUCAUUGACUAGUUUGGGUAAAUGCCCACCCUGCCCCAGAAUAAUAAAGGUGAGCUUGAGAAUGUUCCAUAGUUUACAAGACAGUUCACACAGCUAGCUACAGGUUAUGAAUGAAAAGGGAUUAAGAUUCUUGGUCCUUCGUUACUUGCUUCAGGAACUAAUGUUCUGACUUCGUAAAAGCAAUUUCAGAUUUGUAGGAGAAGCAGCAUCCUGCUAAACUAUUUAUUAAGAAACAAGGAUGGAUAUAUGAAACACAGAAAAUUAAGACAAUCCCACGUGGAGUCUCUAUAGGAAUCAAGAAGAGAUUUACCGAGGAUUUCUCUUAGGGCAUUCCUGCAGACCGCAGGAGAAAAUGUGGCCUCUUCUGAACCAUUAGUUUAAGAGACAGAGUGCCUCCCCCACCCCAAGGCCUUCCCCCCCUGACUAGCAAGUCCCAGAAAAUAACGGGAGGGAGGCCAGAUGGAUGUAGGUACAUUUCAUCUGGGCAGCGUGGACGCAGAGAAGGGUGGUGGUAGCAAAAUAGACUGAGGAUUAUAUUCUUAGAUUUGCUGCUGUCCGUUGAAGAGUAUGGAAUUCGAGGACAAGGACAUCAAGAGAGAAUUUGCCUCUGGAGCAGUGUGUGCUCUGAUUGGGAAUACCCUGAGCCCCGGGGCCUUGAACUACAGACAGGGUUUGAACAUAUAGACACGGGAUGGACAAAUCCCUUUCCCACAAGGAGAGUGAGGCUCAAAGACAGUCUCUUUCUCUCUUUCCCAUCAAUCUUACUUAGGUAUAGUUGACAUAUAAUAAACUGUAUGUAGUGAAAGUGUACAGUUUGGGAAGUUUUGACGUGCGUAUACCCUGUGAAAGCACCACUCCAGGCAGGUUAGUGAACAUACCUACCACCCCCAAAGUUUCCUCCUGACCUGUUCUAGCUUUUCUGUCUAGACGUUUGGUUUCGUUGCUUUUUGUAUAUCCCACAUCUGUCUGAUGUAUUCGUCUGCCCUUCAGUUUCUCGAACACACACCAUAGAGUCGUAAGCACAGUUUCAUUGUCUUUGCUAAUUCUGGCAUCUUUGCCAUUUCUGACUCAGUUAGAAUUGGUUGAUCUUUCUCUUCAUUUUGGGCCAUCUUAUUUUGCUUCUCUGCAUCCUUGCUGAGUUUUAGAUUGCAGGCCGGACUUUGGGUGCCAGGUGUUUUUGCAUUCCUACGAAUCUUUGGUUAAGUUACUUGGAAACAGCUGGAUCCUGUUGACUCUUGCUUACCAGCUUUGGUGGGUGUUCUGAGUACCGCUCCAGCCUGGGCAUUGUUCCCUCUAAUCCUUUUGGGGGGUUCUUUCCCCAGGCGAGUGUAGGGUCUUUGUAAGAGCGUGCUGUCCAAGGAGGGCUCCGUGCCUAUCUGUGGGGUUCUCUUUCUGUGCAGCGCUCUCUUAUCCCAGAACUCUGCUUCUUAGACUCUGGCUACCUUGGUCUCCUCAGACACCUAGAUCUGUCUGCUCAACACCAGGAUACUGCCAGGAGGUGCCUCGGUCCCCCUGGUCCCCCGUCCCCUCGCAGUGUGUGGACCCCUCCAGACCGGAAGCUGGGGACAGCCGUAGGCUCACCGUGUGUAUUUCUUGCCUCAGUGUUCACUGUCCUUUGAUGCCUGACGUCCAGUGUCUUCAAGACCAUCUCAGACUUUGUCUGUUUUUUUACUUGUUUCAAGUGUGAGAGUAAGUCUGUGUCCCUGAUGCUCCACAGUGGCCCAAGCGUGAGUGCCACACGUAUCCUCCCUGUGAGACGGGAGCAAGCAUUCUGGAACUAGGAAGCAAUGUCUUCUUGACUUUGAGAAAGCACCUCUGAACGCGGCACCUUACGGCAUUCUUAAUACAGUAGAAGACAUCAUGAUGUUUAUAAAAAAGGAUCAGCAAAUUUUUUUUUUUAAGUUUAUUUUUGAGAGAGAGAAAAAGUGAGAGUGGGGAGAGACAGAAAGCGAGAGAAUCCCAAGCAG
Herpailurus yagouaroundi (jaguarundi) is the source of this 4102-nucleotide long non-coding RNA. RefSeq lists it as uncharacterized. NCBI's taxonomy places the organism in Eukaryota, Metazoa, Chordata, Mammalia, Carnivora, Felidae. The record is from RefSeq and is a predicted model, not a curated record. The transcript has 3 exons.